AACGUUACCAAACUGUUGCCUCGGCGGGGUCACGCCCCGGGUGCGUAAAAGCCCCGGAACCAGGCGCCCGCCGGAGGAACCAACCAAACUCUUUCUGUAGUCCCCUCGCGGACGUAUUUCUUACAGCUCUGAGCAAAAAUUCAAAAUGAAUCAAAACUUUCAACAACGGAUCUCUUGGUUCUGGCAUCGAUGAAGAACGCAGCGAAAUGCGAUAAGUAAUGUGAAUUGCAGAAUUCAGUGAAUCAUCGAAUCUUUGAACGCACAUUGCGCCCGCCAGUAUUCUGGCGGGCAUGCCUGUCCGAGCGUCAUUUCAACCCUCGAACCCCUCCGGGGGAUCGGCGUUGGGGAUCGGGACCCCUCACCGGGUGCCGGCCCUGAAAUACAGUGGCGGUCUCGCCGCAGCCUCUCCUGCGCAGUAGUUUGCACAACUCGCACCGGGAGCGCGGCGCGUCCACGUCCGUAAAACACCCAACUUCUGAAAUGUUGACCUCGGAUCAGGUAGGAAUACCCGCUGAACUUAAGCAUAUCAAUAG
Molecule: ribosomal RNA, 533 nt
Filed under: Trichoderma hamatum
Lineage: Eukaryota; Fungi; Ascomycota; Sordariomycetes; Hypocreales; Hypocreaceae
Description: eukaryotic LSU rRNA
Rfam family: 5.8S ribosomal RNA (bases 155-308)
Source: RNAcentral